RNAcentral lists this ribosomal RNA (411 nucleotides) under uncultured microorganism. RNAcentral describes it as "bacterial SSU rRNA". It matches the Rfam family "Bacterial small subunit ribosomal RNA", at positions 9 to 417 of the family's 1533-position model. The record is from RNAcentral.
GAGUUUGAUCUUGGCUCAGAUUGAACGCUGGCGGCAUGCCUUACACAUGCAAGUCGAACGGCAGCAUGAUCUAGCUUGCUAGAUUGAUGGCGAGUGGCGAACGGGUGAGUAAUACAUCGGAACGUGCCCUGUAGUGGGGGAUAACUAGUCGAAAGAUUAGCUAAUACCGCAUACGACCUGAGGGUGAAAGUGGGGGACCGCAAGGCCUCAUGCUAUAGGAGCGGCCGAUGUCUGAUUAGCUAGUUGGUGGGGUAAAGGCCACCAAGGCGACGAUCAGUAGCUGGUCUGAGAGGACGAUCAGCCACACUGGGACUGAGACACGGCCCAGACUCCUACGGGAGGCAGCAGUGGGGAAUUUUGGACAAUGGGCGAAAGCCUGAUCCAGCAAUGCCGCGUGUGUGAAGAAGGCCU